RNAcentral lists this ribosomal RNA (497 nucleotides) under uncultured bacterium. Its description in RNAcentral is "partial 16S ribosomal RNA". It matches the Rfam family "Bacterial small subunit ribosomal RNA", at positions 28 to 507 of the family's 1533-position model. The record is from RNAcentral.
GAUGAACGCUGGCGGCGUGCCUAAUACAUGCAAGUCGAGCGGACAGACGAGGAGCUUGCUCCUCUGACGGUAGCGGCGGACGGGGGAGUAACACGUGGAUCACCUACCUAUAAGACUGGGAUAACUUCGGGAAACCGGAGCUAAUACCGGAUAAUAUAUUGAACCGCAUGGUUCAAUAGUGAAAGACGGUUUUGCUGUCACUUAUAGAUGGAUCCGCGCCGCAUUAGCUAGUUGGUAAGGUAACGGCUUACCAAGGCAACGAUGCGUAGCCGACCUGAGAGGGUGAUCGGCCACACUGGAACUGAGACACGGUCCAGACCCCUACGGGAGGCAGCAGUAGGGAAUCUUCCGCAAUGGGCGAAAGCCUGACGGAGCAACGCCGCGUGAGUGAUGAAGGUCUCCGGAUCGUAAAACUCUGUUAUUAGGGAAGAACAAAUGUGUAAGUAACUAUGCACGUCUUGACGGUACCUAAUCAGAAAGCCACGGCUAACUACGUG